This 237-nucleotide unclassified non-coding RNA is filed under the name plant metagenome. RNAcentral describes it as "partial contains small subunit ribosomal RNA, internal transcribed spacer 1, and 5.8S ribosomal RNA". The record is from RNAcentral.
UCUCCGUUGGUGAACCAGCGGAGGGAUCAUUACCGAGCUUACAACUCCCAAACCCCAUGUGAACCUUACCAAACGUUGCUUCGGCGGGAUGCCCCGGGCGCGGGCCGCAAGGCCUCAGCCCCGGAACCAGGCGCCCGCCGGAGGCCCAAACCAAACUCUUGUUUUUGUAGAAUCUUCUGAGUGGCCUUUUAGGCAAAAAAUGAAUCAAAACUUUCAACAACGGAUCUCUUGGUUCUG